CAGUCGCCACGGUAAUACGAAGGGGGCUAGCGUUGCUCGGAAUUACUGGGCGUAAAGGGAGCGUAGGCGGACAUUUAAGUCAGGGGUGAAAUCCCGGGGCUCAACCUCGGAAUUGCCUUUGAUACUGGGUGUCUUGAGUAUGAGAGAGGUAUGUGGAACUCCGAGUGUAGAGGUGAAAUUCGUAGAUAUUCGGAAGAACACCAGUGGCGAAGGCGACAUACUGGCUCAUUACUGACGCUGAGGCUCGAAAGCGUGGGGAGCAAACAGGAUUAGAUACCCCGGUAGUCCCUGUCUCUUAUAC
This 301-nucleotide ribosomal RNA is filed under the name uncultured bacterium. RNAcentral describes it as "partial 16S ribosomal RNA". It matches the Rfam family "Bacterial small subunit ribosomal RNA", at positions 509 to 807 of the family's 1533-position model. The record is from RNAcentral.